This 440-nucleotide ribosomal RNA is filed under the name uncultured bacterium. Its description in RNAcentral is "partial 16S ribosomal RNA". It matches the Rfam family "Bacterial small subunit ribosomal RNA", at positions 338 to 795 of the family's 1533-position model. The record is from RNAcentral.
CCUACGGGUGGCUGCAGUGGGGGAUAUUGCACAAUGGGGGAAACCCUGAUGCAGCGACGCCGCGUGGGUGAAGAAGCGCCUCGGCGCGUAAAGCCCUGUCAGCAGGGAAGAAAAUGACGGUACCUGAAGAAGAAGCCCCGGCUAACUACGUGCCAGCAGCCGCGGUAAUACGUAGGGGGCAAGCGUUAUCCGGAUUUACGGGGUGUAAAGGGGGCGCAGACGGCGAUGCAAGCCAGGAGUGAAAGGCCGGGGCCCAACCACGGGACUGCUCUUGGAACUGCGUGGCUAGAGUGCAGGAGGGGCAGGCGGAAUGCGUGGUGUAGCGGUGAAAUGCGUAGAUAUCAGGAGGAACACCGGUGGCGAAGGCGGCCUGCUGGACUGCAACUGACGUUGAGGCCCGAAAGCGUGGGGAGCAAACAGGAUUAGAUACCCUGGUAGUC